Molecule: long non-coding RNA, 2936 nt
Filed under: Salvia miltiorrhiza (redroot sage)
Lineage: Eukaryota; Viridiplantae; Streptophyta; Magnoliopsida; Lamiales; Lamiaceae
Description: long non-coding RNA (SMIL_LNC004976)
Source: RNAcentral
UGUGAAGAACAUGUGAACUUGUCCGGAAGUCCAUGGCCCUGUAUAUUUGAUAAAUUUAUAUUUUAGUAUCCAAUAGAUGGAAGUAUAUCAGAAUACAGUAGUUUUAUUUCUCUAAUAGAUGGAAGUAUACACUUUUGCGGAUAUGAUGUUCUAUCAUAACACCCUGUUGUGGUUGGUCAGAGUUUAUGGUUCAACAUCAACCUAAAUGAACAGUUACAGAGGCCGUUUUCUUUUUCCUUUCUCUUUAGUACUCCCUCCGUCCCACUUCACUUGGCGUAGUUCUUUUCGGCAUGGUUAUUUAGGAGAGCAAGAUUGUAGUGUAAAGGUGUGUGGGCCCAAGUCAAGUGUAGUGUAAAAUGAUACCAUUUAGGAAGUAGGCCAAGUCAAGUGGGACAACCUGAAAAGGAAUCCAAGUCAAGUGGGACGGAGGGAGUAUCUCUUUUGGAAAUAAGAGGAUUUUUCUUAAAGCAAGGAACAAGACAACUUCAUCGUUUGCGGAAGUUACUAUCUGAUGGCAGAUUGAGAGAGCAAGUGAGGCCACCUUUUGAUGAUCUCGAAGAGCUAGUUAGCUUUAGAAGUUCGUAAAAAAGUCUUUUAUGAAGGAAACUCUAUUCUCUAGUUUUUCUUGGUAAAGCUGAUGGCCUUUAGCAAUAUGAAAUGGGAAGCUGCAGGAUAGUAUCUGAUUCUAUGGUGAUGGAGGAAAACUACUCCAAAUUUUUAAGAGUAACUUUUAUUUUGUCAAUGGGUGUAAAAUAAUACUCCCUCCGUCCCGCGGAUCUUGAGUCAAUUCUUUUCGGCACAGGAAUUAAGAAAAUAGUAUUUAGUGUGUUAAGUGUGGUAGGUGAAAAAGUGAAAAGGUGAAUAAAGGAGAAUUUUUUUGCCAUAUAAGGAAAUGACUCAAGAUUCGUGGGACGGCCGAAAAAGGAAAGUGACUCAAGAUUCGUGGGACGGAGGGAGUAGUUCUUUAGACAUUAAGGACCUCGUGGUUUGAGUGACUUUUUCUUCAAAUGGUCUAGAGGUUUUGCUUGCUGGUGGCGAGUGAAGAUAAAUUGUUAAAUGGCUCUAUCUUCCACAUCAGGGCAUUAUACUAGGGAAUUCAUUUCUGGAUAUUAAAUGCAGGUUUGCUUCACGAAGCAAAGGGUGACGAGAAAGAAGCGCUGAAGGCAUACUCACUUGCCCUGGAAGUUGACCCAAUGCAUGUCCCAAGUCUUGUCUCCAAGGCUAAGGUACUGAGAGGUGGUAGUUGCAGGUCUCCAGCUAUCAUAAGAAGCUUUCUGACAGAAGCUCUACGACUCAAUCGUACGAAUGCAUCGGCUUGGCAUCAGCUGGGCCUGCUUUACAAGGAUGAAGGAGGUAGUUUAUCAGCUGUGGAAGCUGCUGAAUGUUUCGAAGCUGCUGCCGUCCUGCAGGAAACUGAACCCGUCGAGCCAUUCAGAUGACGUUGUUCUGUAUUUGUGAGUAUCCUCUAUACACUGUUGAGUAAAAUAAUUGUAUCUGUUCCAUUUUCGAGGAGAAAAAGGUAAUACAAAUACAAGUUUUUGGGUCUUGAUAGUUUUCCAUUUUCUUCAAUGGGAUUGUAAUGUGAGCAGUGAGAAAUCCACUUCUGUUUGAGCAUGGCAGUUGGGAUUUUAUUUGUUUGCCUUCGUUUUUCAUGAAAAUGUUCUUGAUUUUUCGUUAUUCCUUGCGUAUAGUGUUACUAAUUUUUAUUUUAUGGUAUUCCAUCCUGUGCAAUUACAUGCAGGGAAGGAUUUUGGUUGCUUCGGUUCUAUCAAUAAAUAGACUACUUCAGUUUUUUAUUGGGUUAAUACAUUCAAAUAUACAAACUUUUGGGUUGACUUUCAUUUUGUAAGUAGAUUUUUAAUUUUCUUGGAAGAUUUAUGAACUUUACAAGUUCUCUAAUUUUUCUACGAUUUUAAAGAAGGACGAUUUGUUGUCUGGUGAUUCGAAUACUUUAUAUUCAAUUAGAAUUUGAUGUAUUGCGAGAAGAUUAGGAAAAAAAAAUUGUCUUCAAGGAUAAAUAAAUGAUUUUAGUUUGUGAAAAAAUAUUUUGAGAUUUUAUUAAAAUUAAAGACAAAAGGAAAUUCCUUUAAAAUAAAAUCGUUCCCACGCAAACGUGAAAAUUAACUGCCAUGUGGAUGGCACUGUCAGUUUCACAGUUUAAUUGGAAUGCAAAUCGUGGAAAAAAUAAAUAAUUUAUAAAAUUCAUAGACUUUUUUUUCUUCUUGAAGUUGACAAACACGAUCAGUUUUUAUCAAUUGUGUUAACAUAAUAAGGUACGAUCCCGUUUUCAUAACAAUUGAAGUGUCAGUAGCACUACGAAUCUCAAUAUCUUCAUCCUCGUCUCCAAGGAAAAAGAAGAAACACAAAAAACAAUAACAACAACAAUUUUGAUCUAAUAUUGUUUAAGAGGUCAUCUGCCAAAGUUUGAACACCUCAUUUCAUGAUGAUUACAUUACAUAUAUCAUCUGUAGAUGAAAACUGCUUAAUUGUACAUUCCUCUUCUCAUUAAUUCAUUCAUCUGUGUGCAACUAGACAUGAAAAUAAAAAAGUGAAAUACCGUCGUUUUCAUUCAUCCACUUGCUUAUUUGUGUGUUGUAUGGCUAAACGAGAGCGUUUGAUGGAUUCUUCGCGCUCGAGUUUGAGUUGCUUCUUGAAAUUCUUGAUGAACUUGUCUGCUUGUGUAUUCACAUCCUCUGCAAUCAAGUGCCUGUGUCUGUGUGUCGUGGUUUUUAUGUAGAUAUCAUCUUCUCGGCGUUGAUCCAUUUGUUUAGUGAUGAUGCUUGACUGCGCAACUGCGUGUAUUUAUAGUCAACUUCUUUUCUGGAGCACACGUUUUUCGCGUGCGCGAAAGCAGGAGGAACAAGCUAAGAAACAAGGAACAAUCUAAAGGUUUAAUGGAAGGUGAUUAGGAAAUGGUAGUUGUGUGUGAAUAUAAG